RNAcentral lists this transfer RNA (74 nucleotides) under Malus domestica (apple). RNAcentral describes it as "tRNA MD11G0204900". It matches the Rfam family "tRNA". Rfam says of the family: Transfer RNA (tRNA) molecules are approximately 80 nucleotides in length. Their secondary structure includes four short double-helical elements and three loops (D, anti-codon, and T loops). Further hydrogen bonds mediate the characteristic L-shaped molecular structure. tRNAs have two regions of fundamental functional importance: the anti-codon, which is responsible for specific mRNA codon recognition, and the 3' end, to which the tRNAs corresponding amino acid is attached (by aminoacyl-tRNA synthetases). tRNAs cope with the degeneracy of the genetic code in two manners: having more than one tRNA (with a specific anti-codon) for a particular amino acid; and 'wobble' base-pairing, i.e. permitting non-standard base-pairing at the 3rd anti-codon position. Lineage: Eukaryota; Viridiplantae; Streptophyta; Magnoliopsida; Rosales; Rosaceae. The record is from Rfam by way of RNAcentral.
AGGCCUGUAGCUCAAAGGAUUAGAGCACAUGGCUAUGAACCACGGUGUCAGGGGUUUGAAUCUCUUUAGUUCUC